Dama dama (fallow deer) is the source of this 664-nucleotide long non-coding RNA. RefSeq lists it as uncharacterized. The record is from RefSeq and is a predicted model, not a curated record. NCBI's taxonomy places the organism in Eukaryota, Metazoa, Chordata, Mammalia, Artiodactyla, Cervidae. The transcript is spliced from 2 exons.
ACCAGCCAAGCUUGUGAGAUCCUGAAAGACACAGUCAACAGUGACCCGGCUGGCUGGAGACGGAGGUGGGCUCCGGGACCCUGGACUUCUCACCUUGGCUCUCUGCCUUCUUUUAUAAAAGGAGAUAGAUGAUGCUAACUCCCUGAAGACCCUGAGCAUGGAGCCCCAGACCUCUUGGAGCCUAAGGACGGCUGACCCUGUGACCCCUCCUGCCACCUCACCGUCAGUCCUGCGGAGAAUUGGGCGCCUGUUGACUCCCCUCCCUCACCUGGUUUUUAAAAGUGGUUUGCUCGAAACCCUUCGGGGAGUUCUGGCUUUUCAGGCGUGAACUGCCUUUCUCUGCUCCAGACUCUGAUGGCUCAGUUUGUUUGGCCUCACUGUGCGUCGUCCACAUGAACUUGAGUUAACAUUUUUGAGUGCCUAGACCUAGCCAUACCUGAGGUUUUCCGGCCCCUGGACUUUAUGGUGAUGUCCCCCAACACAUUCACCUUUUUUUUUUUCCCUAAGAGAUGUUGAGUUGUAGAAGGAUCCCAAAUCAUACAUAACAAUAACAUAGUAGUUUUUGAGAAAAUGCCCAUCAGUGCUACCUUUGUAUCCUUGCUAAACAUUUUCCUUUCCAAAUGUCUGUGUAGCCUGUUCCUCUUGAAUAGAAUCUCCUCAGAAA